Musca domestica (house fly) is the source of this 1072-nucleotide long non-coding RNA. RefSeq lists it as uncharacterized. The transcript is spliced from 2 exons. Lineage: Eukaryota; Metazoa; Arthropoda; Insecta; Diptera; Muscidae. The record is from RefSeq and is a predicted model, not a curated record.
CAGUAUUUAAAUCCAAGUUGUUUAGAAAAUAUUGGCACAGUAUCGCACCAGCCAGCCAUCGAUAUUAUUCCUCUACAAUUUUCACCAUGAACGUUUUGAUUUUGUGGACCCUGCUCUUCGGAAUUAUGGCUUUACUUGGCAACAAUAUAACCGAGGCUCGAAAGAGGCAGCACUGGAACCCAGGCUGCAAAGGAAUAAAUUGUUAUGGCGAUAACCCCUUGGGACUGAAACCCCUUAAAGAACUUAAAAGUGGAGCGAAAAAACCCAACGAAAAAGUGAUUUAAUAAAGGGUUGGAAUGGAAUAUUUAAAAUAAAAAAAAAAAAAAUAAAUAAAUAAAUAAAUAAAUUAAAAAACAAAAAAAAAAAAUAAAUAAAUAAAUAAAAUAUAUAUAUAAAAAAAAUAAAAUUAAAUAACAAAUAAUAAAAAAUGGAUUUUGAAAAUUGCAAAUUUUAAGAAUUUUUUUUUUUUUUUGUUGAAAUGUCGAUUUUUUUGAUAUUUCAAGGAUCCACUUACCUGAAAAAUAAUUUUUUAAUUUUUUUCAAUUUGAUUUUGAAAUUUUUGGACUUACCUGAAAACAAAAAAAAUAAUUUUUCCAUUUACAUUUAUUUAAUAAAAAAUAUAAAAAUAAAUAUUUUUUCAACCACAAAAAAUAUAAAACUUUGCCAACUGAUCUCCAUCAAACCACCGACUGUGGUUUUGUGGCCUGUGUGUGUGUGGGGGGUAUUGGAAGGAAAUUUUAUUAUCGAUCAGGGCAAUUUUACUCCGGUUAUCUUUUCAUUUAAGAAUGGCUUUUGUCUGGAUCAGUACUACUCUGGUAGUUGUCUCAAUCAUAUUUUCCCAUCAAGUUGAGGCUAGGGUUGCAAACUUGCAUGGCCGGGAAUCUAGAACCCAAUUUAAUGGCAAUUAUUAUGGCAUGGGGACAAGAGGUUUUUAUAUUUCAAGAGCCCCACCCAUGGUUAAGCCCAUCAAUGAAAGGAUGUUGGAUAUUUUCGAAGCGAUGAUCAAGUCAUUUCGAUAUAAUAUUUUUAGAUCAGAAGAUGAGUAAAUAAAUUAAAAAUAAUUUAAAAGAAA